ACGGGGGCCCGCACAAGCGGUGGGGCAUGUGGUUUAAUUCGAUGAUACGCGAGGAACCUUACCUGGGCUCAAAUGUAUGUUGACGUAUUCUGAAAGGGAUACUUCUUCGGACAAUAUACAAGGUGCUGCAUGGUUGUCGUCAGCUCGUGCCGUGAGGUGUCGGGUUAAGUCCCCAUAACGAGCGCAACCCCUACUGCUAGUUGCCAGCGGGUCAUGCCGGGGACUCUAGCGGAACUGCCAGCGUAAGCUGCGAGGAAGGUGGGGAUGACGUCAAAUCAGCACGGCCCUUACGUCCAGGGCUACACACGUGUUACAAUGGUCGGUACAAAGGGUUGCCAAGCCGCGAGGUGGAGCUAAUCCCAUAAAACCGAUCGUAGUCCGGAUCGCAGUCUGCAACUCGACUGCGUGAAGUCGGAAUCGCUAGUAAUCGUGAAUCAGAAUGUCACGGUGAAUACGUUCCCGGGCCUU
This 468-nucleotide ribosomal RNA is filed under the name uncultured Sphingobacteriales bacterium. RNAcentral describes it as "bacterial SSU rRNA". It matches the Rfam family "Bacterial small subunit ribosomal RNA", at positions 913 to 1382 of the family's 1533-position model. Lineage: Bacteria; Pseudomonadati; Bacteroidota; Sphingobacteriia; Sphingobacteriales. The record is from RNAcentral.